GCCUGGGUGGCUCAGUUGGUUGAGUGUCUGACUUUGGCUCAGGUCAUGAUCUUGCGGUUUGUGAGUUCGAGCCCCGCGUCGGGCU
RNAcentral lists this transfer RNA (85 nucleotides) under Felis catus (domestic cat). It matches the Rfam family "tRNA". From Rfam's summary of the family: Transfer RNA (tRNA) molecules are approximately 80 nucleotides in length. Their secondary structure includes four short double-helical elements and three loops (D, anti-codon, and T loops). The record is from Rfam by way of RNAcentral. Lineage: Eukaryota; Metazoa; Chordata; Mammalia; Carnivora; Felidae.